AUCCUUCUUAACCUAGAUCUCUCUUUCGCACUUCCGAUUCUCUACACUUCUACCAUACUACCGGCUGUCCAAUCACCAACACCACCCUAUCUUGUCCCAAUUAACUUUAUUCCGCCGCCAAAAUGUCGAAUUCCAACCACAUCUUAUUCUCUAUAUUCAGCUUCAGCCUUCGUAGUCUUGGCAUUGGCAGUUUGAAUUGAAGAAGUUUCCGGAAUGCAGUUUAGAGUAGAGUUAAGUUCAUUAUGUUUCGUUUUCUUUGUAGAACAACAAGAAAGGUAAUUGCUGAUAGGGAUUUAGUUCUGAAUCUCACAACUACUCAACUGGGCUUUUUCUCAAAGCAAGAACAGGAGUUUAUCAAGUAUGAAACUGUCAAAGACUCUUAGGUUUCUUUCAUCAUCUUCGCUUGUAGAGAAGAGAUCGUUAAAAACCAAACAAAGUGAACAGGAGAGUCUUUCGCGGCUUCAUACUUGAUAAACUCAUGUGGGUUGUCUUUAAAAUCUGCUGUUUCUGCUUCUAAGUUGAUUCAAUUGAAGAACACUGAAAGAGCGGACUCAGUCCUUAGGGUUCUAAACCCAGAUCUCUAAAGUUGUGAGAGCACACCCACGAGUCAUUUCAAGUAUUCCUGAAAGACGCUUGUAUGCAACUAUCUGAGGAGAAUAUUACAAGAACUAUGGACUUCCUUGUGAACAAAAUGGGUUGCUUGUCUCAAAAUAUUUCCAAAUCGCAAACUGUUCUCUUCUUCAGCUUAGAGAGAGAGGAUUGCUCCGACGUGUUUUAUUUUUCAGGUUCUGCUUUCCGAAGGAUUGAUCAAAGAAAAUAUAUGUCCAUACAGUUUCUUAUGUCUUGGGCAGAGCAAAUUUAUUGAGAGGUAUGUAACCAAAUUUCAAUAAGAAGUUCCUCAGUUUUUAGAUGUAUAUCAGGGCAAAAUCGAUAUUCUGGACGCCUCCCCUGGAUUUCAGAGGAAUGUGAAAUGAAACAGGUUCAACUCUUUGAACUGUUUUCAAUAUAAAUAAUUUUUUUUUUUUUUUUGUGGUAGUCGCUAAUUUAAGCCAUUUUUGGUAUACCAAGUGUUGGAUCUGUAGUUCUUUUACGCUAGGAUGAAUGUUUUGAUAUAACAUUAAGCUAUGAAAUUGUUGUAAUGAAUCUCAACAUUCAUACUGUGUCCAAAUGAAAAUUAGAAAAGCCAAUGUUGGAAUGUUAAUGUUCUUGGAAUAUAACUAGAUUCUUCUGCUUCCUUUUCACUAUGAAUGGCAUCUGUUUCUGCUUCCAAAAUAUAUCACCAUACACUUGACUCAGUACAUGAAAUUUGUUUUAUAGUCUAAUAAUAUAAUAGGAUACUUUUGACAACCGAAGUGAAUCAAAAGAACAUAAUAGUAUCUCAAUACUGUGGUUCCGCGCAUUGCUAUUGAUUUACAAUGUGAUGUUAUCAAUUUUAUAUCCGAACUAAUGAAUUCGUUACUCUAGAGUGAUCCCAAUUGAUUAGAACACUUUGUUGGUCAUGUGUUUGUUUAUUCCUAUCUAAAGAAACAUUCUAAAAAUAUUCAGUAAGUUUUGCUGAUAAUGUGGAUUCUUAAGUUACAAAUUUAUUGACAUCCAUGUGGAUUAUAUUGUGGAGAAGCUAACUUAUUCAUGACUUUUAGAAAGUUUCUUUUAUUUGCUCUAGUAGUGAAUAAUAGUACUAGUUUAUGUAUUGCAAAAGAAGAACCCAGGAGCUAAUUUUGGUUUUAUUGCAGGAGAUGAUGCCAACAUGGAACUGUAACAAUUAAUUCAUAAGUCUUCAUAGAUUCAAUAGAAUGGAAAAGAAGCCUUGCGUGUAGUUGAGCAAACUAUUUUCACUAGCUCUAUUGCAGGGCAUAUUUGUUUACAAAAGAUGCAGAUUAGUAGGGGUGGACAAAAAAAACCGAAAACCAAACCGGAAAACCGGACCAAAACCGAACCAGAAAUCUGGUUUUUUUUUUUUUUCGAAACCGGUUCGGUUUCAGUUCAGGAAAAUGACUGAAACAGUUUUCCGGUUUGGUUAUCAGUUCAGUUCAUAAUAUAAACCGGUUAACUGAAACUGGUUUUAAAAACCAGUUUUAUAUAAAAUCGUAAAUGGCCAAAUCAGUAAAUCUAAAGUUCUGAACAGUAAAGCCUAAGUUUCUAUUUCUUAUAAUAUCCUAAAUCAGUGAAUCAAAAGACGAUUGACUCCCUUUCUCUCUACAUAACUGCACCGAGUCCCAACUACCAGCUGCCGCCCAUGGGUCCGUCGGAGUCUUCAGCUUCUGCAUAACUUACAACGUCUGCCGAUUGAGCAAGGGCUGUUGCAUAAAUUCCUCUGAGAGCUUUGGCUGUUCCAGCAUCCGUGCUUACUCUUGGUGGUGGUUAUCUUUUUGGCCUGCCAGUGGACUUUCUUGCUGAUUCUGUUGGUGCAGCUGCUGCUGCUGGGGCUACAUUUCUUCUUGGCCGAACUGUAACUUUAUUUAAAACCAAAGUCAUUAUCUUCUACUUCUGUAGCUGCUCCUUGUUAAGACUCUUUCUACCAGAAGUUGGUGUAAUUCGAAUGAAUUGAUACAUUUUCAAAGCUCUUUAAUUAAUCUAAAGCAAAGCUUA
This is a long non-coding RNA of Pistacia vera, 2589 nucleotides long. RefSeq lists it as uncharacterized. Lineage: Eukaryota; Viridiplantae; Streptophyta; Magnoliopsida; Sapindales; Anacardiaceae. The record is from RefSeq and is a predicted model, not a curated record. The transcript is spliced from 3 exons.